RNAcentral lists this ribosomal RNA (2459 nucleotides) under Escherichia coli. RNAcentral's name for it is "bacterial LSU rRNA". It matches the Rfam family "Bacterial large subunit ribosomal RNA", at positions 498 to 2925 of the family's 2925-position model. The record is from RNAcentral. Lineage: Bacteria; Pseudomonadati; Pseudomonadota; Gammaproteobacteria; Enterobacterales; Enterobacteriaceae.
GUACCGUGAGGGAAAGGCGAAAAGAACCCCGGCGAGGGGAGUGAAAAAGAACCUGAAACCGUGUACGUACAAGCAGUGGGAGCCUCUUAAUGGGGUGACUGCGUACCUUUUGUAUAAUGGGUCAGCGACUUAUAUUCUGUAGCAAGGUUAACCGAAUAGGGGAGCCGAAGGGAAACCGAGUCUUAACUGGGCGUUAAGUUGCAGGGUAUAGACCCGAAACCCGGUGAUCUAGCCAUGGGCAGGUUGAAGGUUGGGUAACACUAACUGGAGGACCGAACCGACUAAUGUUGAAAAAUUAGCGGAUGACUUGUGGCUGGGGGUGAAAGGCCAAUCAAACCGGGAGAUAGCUGGUUCUCCCCGAAAGCUAUUUAGGUAGCGCCUCGUGAAUUCAUCUCCGGGGGUAGAGCACUGUUUCGGCAAGGGGGUCAUCCCGACUUACCAACCCGAUGCAAACUGCGAAUACCGGAGAAUGUUAUCACGGGAGACACACGGCGGGUGCUAACGUCCGUCGUGAAGAGGGAAACAACCCAGACCGCCAGCUAAGGUCCCAAAGUCAUGGUUAAGUGGGAAACGAUGUGGGAAGGCCCAGACAGCCAGGAUGUUGGCUUAGAAGCAGCCAUCAUUUAAAGAAAGCGUAAUAGCUCACUGGUCGAGUCGGCCUGCGCGGAAGAUGUAACGGGGCUAAACCAUGCACCGAAGCUGCGGCAGCGACACUAUGUGUUGUUGGGUAGGGGAGCGUUCUGUAAGCCUGUGAAGGUGUGCUGUGAGGCAUGCUGGAGGUAUCAGAAGUGCGAAUGCUGACAUAAGUAACGAUAAAGCGGGUGAAAAGCCCGCUCGCCGGAAGACCAAGGGUUCCUGUCCAACGUUAAUCGGGGCAGGGUGAGUCGACCCCUAAGGCGAGGCCGAAAGGCGUAGUCGAUGGGAAACAGGUUAAUAUUCCUGUACUUGGUGUUACUGCGAAGGGGGGACGGAGAAGGCUAUGUUGGCCGGGCGACGGUUGUCCCGGUUUAAGCGUGUAGGCUGGUUUUCCAGGCAAAUCCGGAAAACCAAGGCUGAGGCGUGAUGACGAGGCACUACGGUGCUGAAGCGACAAAUGCCCUGCUUCCAGGAAAAGCCUCUAAGCAUCAGGUAACAUCAAAUCGUACCCCAAACCGACACAGGUGGUCAGGUAGAGAAUACCAAGGCGCUUGAGAGAACUCGGGUGAAGGAACUAGGCAAAAUGGUGCCGUAACUUCGGGAGAAGGCACGCUGAUAUGUAGGUGAAGCGACUUGCUCGUGGAGCUGAAAUCAGUCGAAGAUACCAGCUGGCUGCAACUGUUUAUUAAAAACACAGCACUGUGCAAACACGAAAGUGGACGUAUACGGUGUGACGCCUGCCCGGUGCCGGAAGGUUAAUUGAUGGGGUUAGCGGUAACGCGAAGCUCUUGAUCGAAGCCCCGGUAAACGGCGGCCGUAACUAUAACGGUCCUAAGGUAGCGAAAUUCCUUGUCGGGUAAGUUCCGACCUGCACGAAUGGCGUAAUGAUGGCCAGGCUGUCUCCACCCGAGACUCAGUGAAAUUGAACUCGCUGUGAAGAUGCAGUGUACCCGCGGCAAGACGGAAAGACCCCGUGAACCUUUACUAUAGCUUGACACUGAACAUUGAGCCUUGAUGUGUAGGAUAGGUGGGAGGCUUUGAAGUGUGGACGCCAGUCUGCAUGGAGCCGACCUUGAAAUACCACCCUUUAAUGUUUGAUGUUCUAACGUUGGCCCGUAAUCCGGGUUGCGGACAGUGUCUGGUGGGUAGUUUGACUGGGGCGGUCUCCUCCUAAAGAGUAACGGAGGAGCACGAAGGUUGGCUAAUCCUGGUCGGACAUCAGGAGGUUAGUGCAAUGGCAUAAGCCAGCUUGACUGCGAGCGUGACGGCGCGAGCAGGUGCGAAAGCAGGUCAUAGUGAUCCGGUGGUUCUGAAUGGAAGGGCCAUCGCUCAACGGAUAAAAGGUACUCCGGGGAUAACAGGCUGAUACCGCCCAAGAGUUCAUAUCGACGGCGGUGUUUGGCACCUCGAUGUCGGCUCAUCACAUCCUGGGGCUGAAGUAGGUCCCAAGGGUAUGGCUGUUCGCCAUUUAAAGUGGUACGCGAGCUGGGUUUAGAACGUCGUGAGACAGUUCGGUCCCUAUCUGCCGUGGGCGCUGGAGAACUGAGGGGGGCUGCUCCUAGUACGAGAGGACCGGAGUGGACGCAUCACUGGUGUUCGGGUUGUCAUGCCAAUGGCACUGCCCGGUAGCUAAAUGCGGAAGAGAUAAGUGCUGAAAGCAUCUAAGCACGAAACUUGCCCCGAGAUGAGUUCUCCCUGAGACUUAGAGUCUCCUGAAGGAACGUUGAAGACGACGACGUUGAUAGGCCGGGUGUGUAAGCGCAGCGAUGCGUUGAGCUAACCGGUACUAAUGAACCGUGAGGCUUAACCUUACAACGCCGAAG